CAGCUGCUUCUAAAAGGUUCCAGAGGAAAAGCCCCAAACUUCUGGUUCAAGAAUGUUCAUGUACUCAGAUGAGGUGGUGCACACCUGGAAUCCCAGCUACUUGGAGGUUGAAGCAAGAGGAUUGCAAGUUCAAGAUCAGUCUGGGCAACUCAGCAAGUCCCUACACAACUUAGCAAGACACUGUCUCAAAACAAAAAAGUGUAGCUCAGUGGUAGAGCAUGCUGGGGUUCAACCCCCAUUACCAAAAAAAAAAAAAAGAAUGUCCAUGUAGUAUUUCCUUCUGAAAGAUGGUAGGAUUGUGGACCCAAAGACAACUUUUAUCUGAUUUCUGAGAAUCACCAUUCUGAGUGUCCUUAUUAUAUUACUGAACACAAAGAGAGAAAGCCGGGGCUUUGGGGACCAUGAGUGGCAUAUUGAGAACACAGACAUACACUUUCCUCCUGGCUCCAUUAUUUUUAAAUUAUAAAGCAUAUGCCACAGUAGGCCAUGGCUCCUUCCCUUCAACUCUAGCCUUGGGAAAUUUAGAAGGUGUCUCUGCAUUCCUUCUAAUACCUUCUCACUUACUCAUUAAUUGGAACUGGGGAUUGAACCCAGGGGCACUUUACCACUGAGCUACAUCCCUAG
RNAcentral lists this long non-coding RNA (624 nucleotides) under Marmota monax (woodchuck). The record is from RNAcentral. Lineage: Eukaryota; Metazoa; Chordata; Mammalia; Rodentia; Sciuridae.